RNAcentral lists this ribosomal RNA (499 nucleotides) under uncultured bacterium. RNAcentral describes it as "bacterial SSU rRNA". It matches the Rfam family "Bacterial small subunit ribosomal RNA", at positions 24 to 518 of the family's 1533-position model. The record is from RNAcentral.
UUAGGAUGAACGCUAGCGACAGGCCUAACACAUGCAAGUCGAGGGGCAGCACAAGGAGCAAUCUGAGGUGGCGACCGGCGCACGGGUGAGUAACACGUAUGCAACCUGCCUGUAAGCGGGGAAUAACCCGUUGAAAGACGGACUAAUACCGCAUAAUACUAAAUUACUGCAUGGUAAUUUAUUUAAACAUUUAUGGCUUACAGAUGGGCAUGCGCAUGAUUAGCUAGUUGGAGAGGUAACGGCUCCCCAAGGCAACGAUCAUUAGGGGUUCUGAGAGGAAGGUCCCCCACACUGGUACUGAGACACGGACCAGACUCCUACGGGAGGCAGCAGUGAGGAAUAUUGGUCAAUGGACGAGAGUCUGAACCAGCCAAGUCGCGUGCAGGAAGAAUGUCCUAUGGAUUGUAAACUGCUUUUGCAGGGGAAUAAAGUGCAUCACGUGUGAUGUUUUGUAUGUACUCUGCGAAUAAGGAUCGGCUAACUCCGUGCCAGCAGCUGC